This 433-nucleotide ribosomal RNA is filed under the name uncultured bacterium. Its description in RNAcentral is "partial 16S ribosomal RNA". It matches the Rfam family "Bacterial small subunit ribosomal RNA", at positions 29 to 507 of the family's 1533-position model. The record is from RNAcentral.
AACGAACGCUGGCGGCAUGCCUAACACAUGCAAGUCGAACGAGACCUUCGGGUCUAGUGGCGCACGGGUGCGUAACGCGUGGGAACCUGCCCUUAGGUUCGGAAUAACUCCCCGAAAGGGGUGCUAAUACCGGAUAAUGUCUUCGGACCAAAGAUUUAUCGCCUUUGGAUGGACCCGCGUUGGAUUAGCUAGUUGGUAGGGUAAAAGCCUACCAAGGCGACGAUCCAUAGCUGGUCUGAGAGGAUGAUCAGCCACACUGGGACUGAGACACGGCCCAGACUCCUACGGGAGGCAGAAGUGGGGAAUAUUGGACAAUGGGCGAAAGACUGAGCCAGCAAUGCCGCGUGAGUGAUGAAGGCCUUAGGGUUGUAAAGCUCUUUUACCCGGGAUGAUAAUGACAGUACCGGGAGAAUAAGCGCCGGCUAACUCCGUG